This is a long non-coding RNA of Sitodiplosis mosellana (orange wheat blossom midge), 3386 nucleotides long. RefSeq lists it as uncharacterized. The record is from RefSeq and is a predicted model, not a curated record. The transcript is spliced from 2 exons. NCBI's taxonomy places the organism in Eukaryota, Metazoa, Arthropoda, Insecta, Diptera, Cecidomyiidae.
CAAUCAGAGCAAGUGCCAACUUUGACAUUUCGCUGCAUUGUUUGUUAUUGAAAAUUAGAUUCACAGUGUUAGAGUCAAUUGGCUCUUGAUCCUGAAGAUGGCUUUUGAUAAGCCGAAAUAUAUCGAUCAAAUGGAAUCAUAAAUUUUUUUUUUGCAUUUUCAUUCGGAACAAGAAGGAGGCAAUACAAAAAAGUCACACACUCUGUGUGAAUCAAAUAUAUAAACCUUUAGGUAAAAAAUAUCUAAUAAUGAAAAAAAUCACUCAACAUGGGAACUCAACUUGUAUAAACAUGCAAAGCACGUCACACUUUUGCGCUUUUAAAACUUAGUUUUAUUUUACACUUGGCACGUAUCAGUUCCGGUUUCUCUAAAUUUAUCGUGCAAUAAUUUGAUUUUUGACAUUCAAUUAUAUUUUUUUUGUUCGAUACUAAUAAUUCGUUUAUAUUGCAUUUAAAGCAUUCCAAGGGGAAACAUAUAUUUCGAUUAAUUAUGAUUUUUAAAUUCGACGCAAUUUUUUGUUCCGUUUGUCCGCUAUUAUUUUUCAUCCAAAUAACAGAAGGCAAAAUCAAAAAUUUACUUGAUCAUGUGAAUACGCAAGAUAAUAUGAACGUUGUGACGGUAGGUAAAUUAUUUCAUUAACAAAAAUAUGACAAAUCGUCGGCCCCGUGCAACAAGCUGCCAAUUCGCUUAACUUUUUAAUAACCUGCCGAUUGAGAUACCGUGCAACAAGCCGCCAAUUCAAAUUCAAUGCAACAAGCUGCCGAUUCAAAUUCCGAGCAACAAUAGACCGAUUGGGAUUCCGAACAACAAGACACCUAUUCAGAUUCCGUGCAACAAGACGCCGAUUGAGUUUCCGUGCAAAAAGCUGCCGAUUCACGACCGAUGUGAUUUUGACCUGCAUGUUCACUUUGGGCCACUUACGAAAAUGACAAUUAUUUUUUUUUCUGCAAAACGACUAUUUCAUACGCGGAGUCAUCGAAGCAUAACUGGAUGGCAAUUCGCACAUUAUUUGUUAAUUUGCGGUUAAAAAUCUUAGUAGUAGGGAUUGUUUUAAUAAUUCAGGUGCUUGUCGAUCAUAAUGUGUUCCAAAAAUGUUUAAUUCUAGCGUGAAAACUAUGUUAGUGGCCGUAUCUCGUUACGAUUUUCUAAAAAUCAAGCUCCCUCUUCCAUGUAAGAGCCCGUAAAGAUUUUUACAAAUAUGUACUUUCUAAACCGAUAACUGAGAAAAGUUUCAUUGAAAAUUGACUAAUCAAUCGCCGAUUUAAAAAUCGCGAAAGUACGUCUCAUCUUUUGCCUUUUUGUCUUCAAACUGAAUGAUUUGCAAGCAAAGAAAUGAAUUACAAAAAAACCAAAUUAAAUUAAUUGAAAAGCAAAAACUUUCAAAUCACGAUUUUAUUUUUAAUUCAAUGUAUCUGACCUUGAUCCAAAUUGAAGGCUCAACAAUUUUUUUUUCUUAAUUUUGGGCCUGGUUUCAUGAGGGCGAGCAGUUUUGUUGUUAUAAUUUAAAAUUCAAAGUCACGAAGAGUAUUGAAAUUAGUACUCAGUUUUUUUUUCACCUUUUGGAUGCUUGAAAGAUUGUUUAAUUCCGCACAAAAUAACUUGAAUAUACGAUGUGAUGUUAUAAAUCAGUAGUCCGAUUCCAGUCACACCAAAAUACCACAAUGAUGAUUUAGAACUAACUUUUAUGCUUGCUGUUUUACACUUGCUUUUAUACUUCAUUGGACAGCAAAAAAUCCGCAUUGCCUUAUCGCUGUUGCAUUUGGGUAUGGCUGAGCAUUUCUGAACGGUGUAUUUUUCGUCAAUAAUUCCGAAGAAAUUAAUUACGGGGGGAUUCAGAAAUCAUUUAGAAGAACAAAAAAGUAAACAAUUCUAACUUUCUAACAUUGAUAUCACUUGUUUUAUGUUUGAAUCGAUCACUUAAAUGACUUCGAAAGACAUUUUUUCAUUUGAUAUCAGUUAUUUUGUAACAGAAGGUCAAGCAUCUUGAGAGAUCAUGUUUGUGCAAUGUUCGACAACAACAAUAAGAGGGCAAAGUGGCGAAAAAAAUUGCCUUUCACCGAUAGAGAGAUUAUUCUUUGUUGCUUUCAAAACGGACAAAUAAUUUGAAUUUCUACGCUUUAUCUACAAUUUAUUAGAACAAUUCUUCGUUUGUAUACAGAGAACAUGACAUCAUGGAAUAUAUAUGUAUAUAGAUGUAGAUUAUAUUCCAUUAUGAACUGAGCAUGGAUUACCAGCAUGCGGAUAUUUCAAAAUUUAAACUUUAUUCGAUAAUAAUGCAGUAUUUCGUGUGUCCAAUCGAUUGAUGUUAUCGCCAUCGAAAUUCGUGCUGCUCAUCACUUAUUUUUGUAUUUUAUCAAUGCAAAAAUAAACAUUUAAAAAUUAUUUUUGGACAGAAUCAAUACACUGUACAAAAUUGCAAUCAAAUGUGGGUUCCAAUACUUUCAUAAGAUUAUUAUGGGAGUGCUCAAAACUGAAGAUUUUGUUUUGUCGUUGAAUGCAAGUGAUGCACGUUACAAAUACUUUGAAAAAAAAAAAUUAUGUGUGAGAUUGAGUGUAGUGUAUGUUUUUUGGCGACUUAUAUUUUGAUAAAGUAGAGUAUGUUUCACGACUCGUGGUUUUUGGUGAUUUUUAAUUUUUAACUGACAAACAAUAUCAAAUUGGUGUUUUCGCAAAAAUUAUUGGUCUUGUCAAACUGUUCAACUUUGCAAAAGACAAUUAUCGUAUAUGGGUUGAAAUGAAUAAAUUAUUCGAAGAUUUGGUCAUUGCUUGAAAACAUACUAUAAUUUUUCCAAUACAAAGUCUGUGAAACAUAGACCACUCUCAAUUUCGCCCAUAGAUUUAUAUUGCCUUUAUUUCAAGAAAAUUGACAAAAACAACAAAAAGUACGGACAGCAGUACAGAAAAGUUCGGGAAAAUUCUAUUUAUUCAUCGUUUUUCUUCAGCUUCAUCCAAGAUUUGGGCCAAUUUCGGAAAACCUAUAAUAUAUACAUAGAACCAUAAAAGUUCAACUAUUUUCAAUUUAGUUUCAUACGAAAUUAUGACCUUACCUCUUUUAACGGCUAUCUGGUGGGGUGUCUGUUUCAAAUCGUCUUCAGCAUUCAUAUUUGCCCAAAGUUGAAUAAGAGCCCAAACUACUUUCUCACGACCUGAGAAGAUAAUGAGAGAAGCUGCAAUAAGGAUAGGAAGACUUUUGACGGAGGUGUAUGAACAGUUUACCAUUUUGAGCUGCCAGAUAAAGUGGUGUCCGUUUCCAAUGGUCUUCAGCUUCCACUGUCGCACUAAGCUCAAUAAGAGACUGAGCUAUAAAUUUUCUUGUUUUUCAGUUGCUACUGUAGUUUUAUUCAAUAAAUUCACCAAAUAAAAUCAUUUUGGCUUGUACACUACCC